RNAcentral lists this long non-coding RNA (865 nucleotides) under Zea mays. RNAcentral describes it as "long non-coding RNA (ZMAY_LNC005160)". The record is from RNAcentral. Lineage: Eukaryota; Viridiplantae; Streptophyta; Magnoliopsida; Poales; Poaceae.
AUCGGGUAGCGACAUCCGGUACCCGAAAUACCCAAAUACCCGAACUAUAUAAAUAUCACCACAUGCGUCUAUAGUACCAGUACUAAUGUUGUUUUUCUUUGCCCAGUUGACAUACUAAUGUUGCUCUUCCGUCCAGUAUGCCAGCACGCCGUGGUGCAGUACUGCCGUAGCACCUGGCCGGACUGCCACAGCUAGCAGUCCAUCACCCAACCGGCCAACCAUUAGGUAGUGUUUGGUUGAAGAGCCAAGUAGAACGGAGCCGUUCUGUCCCAGUUUUGUUGUUGUUUGGUUACAAAGUAACUAGAAUGGAAUGGCUCCAAUUAGGGAAUAUUCUCCUCAGAUCCGGAACAAUCCCGCUCCAAAAAAUCAACCGGACGGAGCCGCUUCAUUCCUAGCCCGCUCGCACAGUCACGCUCCGUUCCAUUCACUCUGCAACCAAACAAAAAACAGAGCCACUCCAUUCCAGAUUACCAAACACAGAAUAGAGCGGCUUCGUUCCUAGAAUCAGGGAUGGAAUGGCUCUGUUCUACUUGGCUCCUCAACCAAACACUACCUUAGUCAUGCUUCUGGUUCUAGAGUUUGCUAUUUCCUCAACUAAUCAAGAUCAGUUUCACGGUGAAAUAUUUCCUAGUUUGCUCAUUUUCUACUCUCACUGCAUGCUUAUGGCUCAAAAGCCCGAACUGCAUGCUCAUUUUCCAGUGUGCUUCCUGUUCUAGAGUCUAACUGCAUGCUCAUUUUCUAGUGUUUGAUUCAUGAUAUUUUUGUAAAAAUACAUGUGUAAAUAUUUGAUGUCACAUUGAUCUGCAAUGAAAUCGGGUAGAACGGGCUACCCGUACCCGAACCCGAAUUUUUCGGGUACCCGAAU